UCUCAAACCAGAGAGGCGAAAAAGAGAUCCUCUUUACCUUCUCAGUUUCUUCCAUCGAUCUCUCGAUCAAACCUCUUUCUCUUCUCUUCUUUUCUGUUUUAUCUCCUCCUUCUCUUUUAUUAAUAUCUGCUUGUCCUGUGCAAAGCGAGAUAGAGAAAGUAGAAAUUAGGGUUUCAAUCUCUAUUUCGAUGGCGCGCCAGAUCAAUUGACAUCUAGGGUUUGGUUAUUGUGUUUUGUCUGAAUUAGGUUUUGAGAUAUUGGUGACGAGCUGUCCAGAAGAAUUGUGUUUUGGUGAUUUAGAUGCAGUGAGAUUGCGGGUUCUUGGUGCUGGUGUUGGAGAAGGUUUGAACAAGAAAUUGCAGAUGAAUGAGUUGAUGCAACAGAGAAAGAAUGGAGUCACAGAGUACGUGAAUUAUUGAUAGUAUUGGUGGUUUUGUUGGCUGAAAAACUACAGAAGAAGACUAGAUGAAUGUAUUAGGUUUACAGGAAAAUGGUGUGAUGGAGUUGAUGGGUACUGCAAAUGGAUUGCUUACAUGGGUUUCUGUGUUAUUGUAUGCAAGGGAAUGAGAUUGAUGGUGAUUUGUCCUGAGAAGAAAGUAGAAUGGUGUUCUGCAGUGUUGCAAUGGGUUGCAUAUGGAGAAUGCCUCGAGUGUGCUGUUCUGAUGGUGUUCUUCCUCAAUUUCAUCCCCCUGCUGAUCAGAAUGAGGGUUUGCUUUUAAUAGUGAGGGCGGGCGAUUUUCUGGUGGUUUCGAGAUCAGUGUUUUUGGGCUUGUUCAUGAAACUGGGGAUCUAUCUAAGCUCCCUGACGUAUCUGUUGAACUUGUGUGCAACACAAUCGAAGAUUAAAUCUAAUUCAUAAUUAUUUAUUUGACCAAAAACAGGACCCCCUGUUGAUCUUCAUAAGAAACCUUUGUGCUAUUAAAUUGUAUUUUUUGCUGGACCAGAUGCCAAAAAGCCAUCAAUGGAUGCUAUAUAAAGGCUUACACUUGGAGGUGAUUUAGAAUUGACAAUGAUGAGUGAUUUCUACUAAGCAUGGCUGGAUGCCAUGCGCGUAUUGCAACACCCAAAGUUCAGCUUGGCUUGCCAGAGCUUACACUUGGUGUUAUCCCUGGAUUUGGAGGAACUCAACGACUUCCAAGGCUGGUAGGGACACCAAAGGCUAUUGAAAUGAUGUUGGUAAGU
Molecule: long non-coding RNA, 1182 nt
Organism: Papaver somniferum (opium poppy)
Lineage: Eukaryota; Viridiplantae; Streptophyta; Magnoliopsida; Ranunculales; Papaveraceae
Exons: 5
Source: RefSeq, a predicted model, not a curated record